CACCAAGGAGACCGUCAGUGGAUUCCAACGCUUCCACCUCCCCCACCCUCCCCUGGCCCAGGAAGGACCAGAGGCUUUAACGCGGGUGCAGAACAGGAGCACGCCCCAGGACAAAUCAGAAUGUGAGAGCAUAAAUCUCUGUCCAAGGCCGGCGAGUUUGGGUCAUUUGUUGCAGCUGCCGCAGGAGAAGAGCACGUGGGUCAUGGGAAGAGGAAGUGAGAAGGGACCUCUCCGCGUCGGACUUGCAGACUCACGAAGACGCCGUCCCCCACCCCGGCCCAGCAGGCAUCUACCCAAGAGAAAUCAGAGCAUGCGUCCGCACAAAGACAUCCGCGGGAUGCUGUUCAGAUGUGCAGGGGUGAAGGAACUGACACGACUUCCGGGUCUGUCCUGGGCCCAAAUCCACGGCUGCAGCCCCGCCCCUUCCGGGUCGCCCUCCGCCAGCGCCAGCGCCUGACUGCGCCUCCGCACUCUGCCAGCCUCACUCCCUCCCGAGGCUCUGGGUCCUUCCUCCUCCUCCUCCCCCGCGCUCAUGCCCGCGGCCCUCAGUCUUCUCUCCCCCGUGUGUCUGUGUCCAAACUGACCCCUUCUUACAAGAACACCAGUCACUGAGUUUGAGGCCACCCUACUCCAGGAUGACCUCGUCUUACCCUUUACCUUAAUUACAUCUGCAAGGACCCAAUUUUCAAACAGGGUCACAAUCUGAGGUUCCUGGUAGACGGGAGCUUUUCGAGGACACGAUUCAACCCAUUACACGCUCUGUGCCUGUCAUUAGUGGGGAGGGUGAGCGAUGCCCCCAGAUGA
Suricata suricatta (meerkat) is the source of this 804-nucleotide long non-coding RNA. RefSeq lists it as uncharacterized. The record is from RefSeq and is a predicted model, not a curated record. NCBI's taxonomy places the organism in Eukaryota, Metazoa, Chordata, Mammalia, Carnivora, Herpestidae. The transcript has 3 exons.